GAUCCUGGCUCAGGACAAACGCUGGCGGCGUGCCUAACACAUGCAAGUCGAGCGGGGAUUGUGGAAGUGCUUGCACGGAAGCAAUUCUAGCGGCGGACGGGUGAGUAACGCGUGAGCAAGCUGUCCUUCACAGGGGGAUAACACUUGGAAACAGGUGCUAAUACCGCAUAAGACCACGCAGCCGCAUGGCAGAGAGGUCAAAGGAGAAAUCCGGUGAAGGGUGCGCUCGCG
This 231-nucleotide ribosomal RNA is filed under the name uncultured bacterium. Its description in RNAcentral is "partial 16S ribosomal RNA". It matches the Rfam family "Bacterial small subunit ribosomal RNA", at positions 15 to 235 of the family's 1533-position model. The record is from RNAcentral.